Tetranychus urticae (two-spotted spider mite) is the source of this 3008-nucleotide long non-coding RNA. RefSeq lists it as uncharacterized. The record is from RefSeq and is a predicted model, not a curated record. NCBI's taxonomy places the organism in Eukaryota, Metazoa, Arthropoda, Arachnida, Trombidiformes, Tetranychidae.
AUUCCUAUUCAAAUAUCCGUAGUUUCCAUUGAUAAAGCAAUAAAUAUUAACAUCAAUUUCCUUAGCUAUUGUUAUUAAUAUUAUUUAUCAAACAAACAUCCAACUUUAUUCAAUUGGUGUUAUAAAUUUUGUAUCUUUGCCAUCAUCAUUAAUAUUAUUUACAAUUAUCUAUUGACCUUAAAGAUACUUAAUGAUACAAGCCAGUCAUCUCAUAUUUACCUUUUUUCAGGGUUUAUUAUAAAAUGGGAUUAAGCUUUUUCAUCUUCCAGAUUAUUGACAUUAUUUUGUGUGACAAUUAUUUAGCAACAACAAUUUCAUCGUCAUAAUCAUUAUCAUUGUGAUCACCUUAUUUUUAACACUUCCUUUCCUAUUAUCAUUAUUAUUCAACUUGUAAUUUAUUCUUUCCUUACCUUUUGUGUUAUCAUCCAUUUUCAUUUUUAAUCCCUUAUGUUCACAAUUUUUUAUUUUACUUUGUCCCUAAUUUUGUAUCUUUUUGUGUGUUGUUGGGUCAAAGAUAUCUUCCUUUUAUCAUUGUCUUCAUUUAAACUAAAGCUCAUCCUUUUUCAAACAAACUUCAUCUUUAACUGUCACCAUCUCUUUUAAUCAUCAUCAACACCAACAUUGGAAAGCUCAUCCGUCCAUCCCAUUAGAUUAGCUUAAACAUUUCAUUUCUGUUUAACCAACAAACCUUUUAUUUUCAUCUAUUUUUUUCUUCUUCUUUCUGCACUUCUAUUUUAUUUACAAUGUUAAUGAUAAACGCAAUAACCAAUAGCUUUUUUUAUUGACCGUAAAUCAAAUACUGUCUUCUUUCUUUGUGUAUUUGUGUGUGACAAAACAAAAGUCAAUAUAAAGUGAUACAAUUAUUAAAAUAUACUUCCGUUCACGAUAAAUGAUUAAAUCAAUAUUUAAACAUAGUAAAGAUUUAAAUGACAAUAAUCUCGUCUUUAUGAAUUAUCCUUAUCUCUGCAUGUGCAUAAUAAUUACACUUCACUCACUCGAUAUCAACUAUUGUAUCGAUCGAUAGAUUGGUUUGAGCACAUUUAAUGAACAAAAAUUAAGACAAUCAGAAAAGUGGAAUAAAACGAGAGCCAAGUUAACCCUGUUUGCAAGCCAAAAAAGUCAAUAAGUGGGAUCAAGUUGCUUAUACAGGAUACAAUGUAAAUACUCUGAUCAUGAUCAGUGGGAUGGUGAUAAAAGGAUGAUACUGAUGAAGAUGAAAUGAAGUAAACAAUAAACAAAAACAACAACAAAAAAUGGAGAAAGCCAAACAAAAACGCUAAACACAUAAUCUAAAUUGGGUUUAAAGAGGUUGGCUGAAUCAAAAGGAACAUAAAAAAGGGAAAAAGGAAAAUGAUGGUUAAGAGAUUGCUCUUAAAAUGAUGAGAAAAAAACAGGCCAAAAAAGACGAGUAUGAAAAGAUGAGGAUAACCGUUAAUGCAUUUUUUCUUCGCCUCUGAUAAUCUUAAAACUUGUGCCUUCUCUUUCAUUUCUCCUGAUGAUCAAUAACAUCAAUUGUUUCUCAUCAUCUCAAUAUAUGAUUAUUAUUUUGCUCUCGAUGCAAUAAUUGAUCAACCUCCCUGCUAAACGCUUAAUCAAUUGUUGUAGAAGAAAAGGAUGGAAAUUACAUUACAAGAAUCAAUCAAGUCACCCUAAUGAAUUAAAUGAAGCUUUACGAGUUAAUCUAGAGUAAUAUUGCGAUGAAAAAAGACGGAGAUCUGAAAAAGUGAAUCAAGAAAAAACUAUCUACAUCAACAUAAUUAUCGCCAAUUGAUUAAGAUCUGGUUAAUUGUUAAUUAACAGUUUAAUGGAUAAAUAAUAUCUCAAUCAUAAACUAAUGGCAAUUAAGCAUCAAGUUUGCUGAGAUGAUUUUUAAUAAUCUCAGCUCAAGUUUUUUGCUCUCAUUUUACCUGCUUUAGAUAAUAAUAAUGUGAUUAAGAGCUAAACAGAUCUUAAAUUUCAUCCUGUUGUUAAGAUCAAGUCAAGUUUAAUCAAGAUGCAGUGAUGCAGGAAAGUCAUCCGUAAAUACAUUAAUUCAUAUCAAUUCAUACAUUUUCCCUUUCCUUUUCAAUCUAAAUGCCAUAAAUCUAUUUCAAUGGACUACUUAUAUUAUUAAUAUCAACAAUGAAGAGAGUAACCAACUCCUUUGGUUAAUAAUAAUAAACAUUGAUAGCUCCUUGGAGGCCAUUUUUAAACUUUGUUAUCUUCAAGUACCUUUGACCCAAUGGAGCUGAAACUCGAACAACAAAAGCCAAUUCUAAAAAUUUGCCAACCUGAUUAACUUGGCAAAAUACAAAACCAAGUUGCCUGAAAUGCUGGGAAUCACCAAAUCCUAUUCAAAGUAAAUAUGAAAAAAGGUGUGAAUCCAUCUGAAAACGAAUUGUAAAAGAUGAAAGGAAACAAAAUUGGUAUAAAUUCAAGUUUGAUUGGAUUCAUUGAAUUGGUUAUUGACUUAUUGGAUUAAUGCUGUUGAACAGAAUGACAACAGUUUGGCUGUGAUAUGAUCAACAAGGACAAGAUAAUUAAUCUGAUUGACCUGAAACCAACGGGAGGAAGAAUCAACAAUGGAUCAAUUUUAUUGUUUAAUCAAAGGCCUAAAAUAACUGCUGAAAAACGAUGAUAAUAUAUUUUCAACUCCCAAUGAUACUAAUAAUAAUACAAAAAUGAUUUUCAACGAAACAAAUUUCAAUCAACAACAACAAAGAAACCAAUUCUCAAGUUUAUCAAAUGUUGUUUUUGUUGUUCAAUAAUAAAUCAAAUGUCCAGUUUAAUGUGAAACUGUAAACUCAUUUUUAUCAACGGAAAGUUUCACCAAAAUUGGUUUCAUUGUAAAGUUGAAAAUUGGGAAACAUUUCACUUUCAUCCAAAAAAAGAUGAUUAAUGGUCAUAUUAAUGGAAAGCGCUUUCAAAGUUAAAUUUACUCUAAUUAUUUUAAUUACCUUGCGAUGUGAUCUUGUGAGUCCAUUUGCAUGAUUAAUAAACCAGCAAAUGAAAAGCCUUUCAAACGAUUC